CCCAGGCCACGUGCCGAGGGGAGCAGGCUGGGCCGUUACACCACCCCCCAACCGCAGGUGCAGCAAGGCCAACAUGCCAGGCUGGGAGGGGCUGCCGGCCCCUCGGUGACUUGCACCGGGCCCGCAAGCAGGCUGGGGAGGUGCUGCUGGCCCCACCGCUGAGCCGCCUCCCUCACCGCACCUCUGCUGCCCCUCCAAACCAGCCAAGAUCAGACCUUGAUCUCACCUGAUUAAGCGCUUGCUUAGUACAGGGCAGACCCUCGAGACUUAUGCUCAGGCCAGUGUCUCCUGGGAGGGAAGGAGGUGGGGAGGCCGUAUUUGCCCCCACACAGAGCUAGGGCUGAUUCUCUGAGGGACCCCCCCCCAAUAGCACCUCCCCCCUUACCCUGAUGCUUGUCCAUUAGGUGAUGGCCCUAAUGGACGCCUUGAUGGACACGUCCGGGACCCAGGGACCCGGAGACCAGGAAUCUGCUGGUCUCAGGGAGCCGCAGAACCUGAAACCCAAAAAUACCAGGCUUGAUCGCCUGCUCUUCGGUAGUGUCGCCAUCCACCCGCAUGGGGGCAGCAGCGCUCCACCAAAAAGACCUCUUCUCCCUUUGUCUGUUAAUUCUGGAGAUAGAAAGCCCCCAAAGUUUAGGAAAAGCUCUUUUCCGAGGAAAAUAAAAGGGCAGGUGACUUUUAUCCCACAAGUCCCUGCCCUGUGCCCGUCACUGCGCUGGGCGCAAGGCCUGUGUCAUCCUGUCACAUCCCCCCCCAAAGGAGAGGAGGGCCUGGGGCCUGGGCCGGCAGCAGGGGGCGCUGUUCGUCCGGGAUCGUCAGACCCGCUCCACCCGGAGCCCUGGAGGAAGUGCCCAGGGAGGGCUGGGGGCCCGGAGGAGGCCUUGGGUUCGGAAUUAGGCUGGCUGGAGUCCGGGAUCCACCACAUCAUACACUCGUGCCUUUGGCAGGUCACUAACCGCCCACCGCCUCAGUUUCCCGGUGGGACGAACUCUCUCUCACAGAAGGAGCCCCUGGAGCCCCUGGCCGAACACAUCUGAAAGCACGGAGCCAGACCUCUGCAGCGCCCUCCAGCGGGCAGGUUCUGCGGGCAGCCAUCUCCUCGCAGGCCAGAACACCCCACGUCACUCCAGGACGGUUCGCCACCUUUGAGAAGAGAGGACUCCAGUGUCUGUUCGCUCUGGAAAUGUGGGCAUGUUCCCAUUCCAAAGGUGAUAGGAUCUGAGGGGAGGAUCCUUCCCAUUUUCAAAGCCUUCCUAAAAUCCCACUGAUUAGUGGGGAGGAGUGCAAGUCUACCCUUUCCCCGAACCACCCACAUGAAAUUUAGCAACAACAACAACAAAAAAGGAAAAUAUUAGAGGAAGAUCAUAUAAGUGUAAGAAGACAAGGCUGGCAGGACCUAAGAGAGUCUAGGUAGAUGAAGGAAUAUGGUUUACAUAAUGGGGAGCACCUGGUCUCCAUUUCAUGCUUCCAGCCUUGAUGGGAGGAAAGUAGGUAAACCUUAAAAGGGACUUCUUUCCAGUGGAGGCUGCAAGAUUCUAUUUUUACCAACCUCUAAGGUGUCCACCUUAUCCUUGCUGACCCAAGUUAUUCCAGUGAUUUACCAAGGGAAAUGGGUGGAACGACAUCCUUAUCUGGACUCCUUAUUAACAAUAUCCUACAUCUGUACAACACCAAAGCAAACAUCAACUCUUUUGAUCAAAAUGAUAAACCCCAGUGGUAGACAGAGUAUUCUCUCCUCUUUUACAAAUCAGAAGGCACAUGGAGCGGCUUGCACAGGAUCACGGUGAACUAGGCCCUGAUCCCCACCAGACUCGGAUCCCAGGCUUUCCACCAAGCUCUGUGGACUCAGAAAUACCAAGUGGUUCCAGAUUCAGCCAUCAGAGGAAGGAGCAUGAAUUGACUGGCAUUCCCAGGCCCCCUAAGACUAAGUGUCUUGUUUCCUGCCUCCGUGGCCCUUCCCUCUUCCUGACUCUGCCUGCAUGGAUUUGAUCCCCCUUCAGGAUGAGAUCAGAAUGGCAAGGCAGAGCUCUGUACCUUUAGGAGGCACUCCCUCAAUAAAUAUUUGAUGUUGCCGGGCACGGUGGCUCACGCCUGUAAUCCCAGCACUUUGGGAAGCCAAGGCGGGCAGAUCACUUGAGGUCAGGAGUUCAAGACUAGCCUGGCAAACAUGGUGAAACCCCAUCUCUAGUAAAAAUACAAAAAAUUAGCUGGGCAUGGUGGCGGGCGCCUGUAAUCCCAGCUACUAGGGAGGCUGAGGCAGGAGAAUUGCUUGAACCCAGGAAGUGGAGAUUGCAGUGAGCCGAGAUCGCGCCAUUGCACUCCAGCCUGGGCAACAGAGCAAGACUCCAUCUAAAAAAAAAAAAAAUUGAUGUUUGUGGCCUCAAGGCAAUACUUAUCCACUACUCAAGCAUAUGCCAAUGGGGAUAACUAAUAUCCAGACACACUCCCCAUGGCUGGUCCCUUCGCUGACUCUUUCUUAGCUGUCAGAUCUCAGCCUAAAGGUCACCUGGUCAGAGAGGUCCUUCCUAACCACCCUAAGCAGCUCCCUCCCCAGCCCCAUUUACUGUCACAUUAUAUUGUUUACUGUUUCUUUCCUUCACUCCACUCACAACAAAAUUAUUUCAUUUAUGUAAUAAUUUGGCUCUCUUCCCUACUGGAAUUUAAGGCUCAGAAAGUGAGGCGUCUUGUCCGUUCUGUUCAUUUCUGUAGCACUUAACUCAUGGUAAGCAAAAAUUUAAAGGAAGGAGUAAUAACAGAAAGAAUGAGCUCUGCCAUCAGAUGCCCCUUAUUUAUACCCUGACACUAGAUUGGGGUUAAAUGUUGACAAUCAUUGAAGCUGUUAGACAUAUGGGAGCUUGCUGGCCUCUUGACGUGCAUGUAUACGCACGCAUGAGGGAAAAUUUCAAUUAAAAGUUAAAAACAAAGUUGUUUAUCCCUGGGAUUUAACAGGCCUGAAUAGCAGGUCUCAAACGGGGCUCCUAGGGAGGUCUCUCCGCUUCUCCCAGGAAGAGCCAGGCCUGCCAUUGGUCACCACAGUGCUUUAGCUGAGAGUCAGUGAAACGGAUGUGCAGCUGAGGGAGAAAAGCAGUAUGUCAUGGAACCCUCAGAGCUUCUGGUGAGCACUGAAAGGAAUGAUACAUUUGUAGAGCAAUUACAUUCAGAUAUUUUCACUUAACGUUUUGUUGGGAUAACCGCAGUAUGAAGUAUUAUUAUCCCCAUGCUGAGUUUAUGACUUAUCUCAUUCAAAGCGUAACCCAAACGCUUUCAGCUAGACAGAAAUAAGAUUCAAGCCUAACACUUGCUGAGUCUCCAUUUCCUCAUCAGGAAGAUAAGAAUGCCACCCACCUCCUUCAUGCAAUGAUAGGGAAACGCAAGUAACAGGAGGGCGCUUAACAGUUUGCCAGACAUGUGGCCCACGCUCGCUCACUCCUGGACAGGAUAGGGCUGUGUCUUAUCUUUUCUAAUGCCAUGCACUACCUAGCACAGAGCCUAAGUGUGUAAUUAUUUGCUAAAUUUUAGCGACAAAAGGUCAACAGACAGUAAGUGGCAGAACAAGUCCUUGAAUCAACACUUUCAGAUCAAAGUGUUUUCCGCAACACCAGGCUGCCUCUCUGGUGGUUUGAAAAUACUUUUUAAAAAUCCCAUUGACAGAACUUGGACCUACCUAUAAAAUCAAUGUAAGCAAAUAAAAUACUUUGUUUAGUCCUUCUU
Homo sapiens (human) is the source of this 3711-nucleotide long non-coding RNA. RefSeq lists it as uncharacterized. NCBI's taxonomy places the organism in Eukaryota, Metazoa, Chordata, Mammalia, Primates, Hominidae. The record is from RefSeq and is a predicted model, not a curated record. The transcript is spliced from 2 exons.